GAUGAACGCUGGCGGCGUGCCUAACACAUGCGAGUCGAGCGGAUGAAGGCAGCUUGUUCGUGGAUUCAGCGGGGGGCGGGGGAGUAAUGCACAGGAGUAUGCCUGGCCGUGGGGGCUGACGUCAGGAGGCGAGAGCUGAUAACACAUGCGAGCAGAGGGUGAAGCUGGGGGGUCUUCGGAAAUUACCGGCUCAGCUGAGCCUAGGUGGGAGUAGCUAGUUUGUGGGGUAAGGGGCUACCUAGGCGGCGAUCCGUAGCUGGUCUGAGAGGAUGAUCGGCCACACUGGAACUGAGACACGGUCCAGACUCCUACGGGAGGCAGCAGUGGGGAAUAUUAGGCAAUGGGCGAAAGCCUGACCCAGCCAGGCCGCGUGUGUGAAGAAGGUCUUCGGAUCGUAAAGCACUGUUAUUGGGGAUGAACAGCUGUAGGUUAAGACGUUGCUGUAUUGACGGUACCAACUGAAGAAGCACCGGCUAACUACGUG
RNAcentral lists this ribosomal RNA (484 nucleotides) under uncultured bacterium. RNAcentral describes it as "partial 16S ribosomal RNA". It matches the Rfam family "Bacterial small subunit ribosomal RNA", at positions 28 to 507 of the family's 1533-position model. The record is from RNAcentral.